GGGGCCAGGGGGUCUGGUUUUAUAGUCCCUUCAAGUGAAUCUGGGCCGUUGGAUCAAACCGACAUUGAUCGUGUGGUUUUCCUUGAAGUAUUAGGUCGGUGGAGCACGAUCCUCGAACUUCACCCUGAUUGGUGGAAAGAGGUGGGCGGGCGCCCUCAGGACUAGGGCGGGCGCCCAGUGCCUGAGCCCUCUCGGCCUCCGCUUCGGUCCCGUGGCUUCUGGAGUCUUCUAGAUGGUAGAUAAUUGUGC
Molecule: long non-coding RNA, 249 nt
Filed under: Sorghum bicolor (sorghum)
Lineage: Eukaryota; Viridiplantae; Streptophyta; Magnoliopsida; Poales; Poaceae
Description: long non-coding RNA (SBIC_LNC008369)
Source: RNAcentral